This 71-nucleotide transfer RNA is filed under the name Neodangemannia microcystis. RNAcentral describes it as "tRNA-Gly". It matches the Rfam family "tRNA". Rfam says of the family: Transfer RNA (tRNA) molecules are approximately 80 nucleotides in length. Their secondary structure includes four short double-helical elements and three loops (D, anti-codon, and T loops). Lineage: Eukaryota; Viridiplantae; Chlorophyta; Ulvophyceae; Oltmannsiellopsidales; Oltmannsiellopsidaceae. The record is from RNAcentral.
GCGAAUAUAGUUUAGUGGUAAAACAUAACCUUGCCAAGGUUAGGUCGCGGGUUCGAUUCCCGCUAUUCGCU